Molecule: long non-coding RNA, 1395 nt
Filed under: Nicotiana benthamiana
Lineage: Eukaryota; Viridiplantae; Streptophyta; Magnoliopsida; Solanales; Solanaceae
Description: long non-coding RNA (NBEN_LNC015958)
Source: RNAcentral
UUAUGAUAUAUGGCGAAAACAAUCUUCAAGAAUCACCCCAAAUCGUCUCGCGUGAGCUCCUAGAACGUAAAAGGGAUAAAAUGAGCUCAAAAUUCCGAAAUUAGAUGUUCAAUAAACAUGUCGGACCUCCUUCUACAUGAUCACAGUUAUUAUCCAUGCGAUUGGAAUCAACAAAAGUUCCAGUAUUGUUUCCUUCAUCGCGAUCGCGGCCAAAACCUCGUGAUCGCGUACAAAUUUUGAUUCCUCUUCACAGAUAUCUUUCGGUAUAAUCUCAGUAACAUUUUUGUACAAAAUCCAAAAUGACAAAUUGUUUAAUAUGAAAACUAGAUUGAAAGAGCUACAACUUUUAUUUAUGGAUCAUCCCCAAAUCCCUUUUAGAUUGCAAGAUAUAAGUCCCCGUAUCAGAUCAUUGAAAGUAGAAAUCCUUCUUCGCGAUCGCAACCUUUCUUCUGCGAUCGCGAUUCAUGAGGCCUGGAACAACACUUUUCUCUUCCUCAUUCGCGGCCUUUUAUUCGCGAUCGCGAAGAAUGAUGCACCAGAUCUCAGAAACAGCAGUUCAAACAUGGCAAAAUGAUGCGUAGCCCAUCAGAAAUACAUCCGAGGCCACCGGGACCCCGUCAAAUCGUACCAACUAUUCCCAAAAUAUGAUGCAAACAUGCUCGAUGUCUCAAAUGAUAUCAAACGAUAUCCAAACUAAGAAUCCACGAUCAAAACCCUUCUUUCAACUUUAAAACUUCGCUGAACGCGUCGAAAUUACGCUUAAACAUUCCGGAAAGAUGCCAAACUUUAUGUGCAAGUCACAAAUCACAAUACAAACCUAUUCCAAGGCUCGGAAUCCCAAACGGACAUCAAUAAUAUCAAAGUUCACUUUAAAUAAAUCUUAGAAAAUUUUAUAACCUUCUAAAUGUCAACUUUCCACAAUAAGCAUCAAAAUACUUUUGGACCACCCGAUACUCAACAUGAACAUACUGCCAAGUCCAAAAUUAUCAUACGAAUCUAUUGGAACCUUCAAAUUCCAUUCUGAGAUCCAUUACUCAAUAAUUAAGCUUGGUCAACUCGUCCAACUUAAAACUUUCUAAUUGAGAAUUUUCCAUCUGAAUCAACUCUGAACUUCCCGAAAUUCUAUUCCUACUAUACGUGCAAGUCAUAACACAAGAAGUGACGCUAUACUUAAGGCCUCAAACAGUCGAAUAACACAAUAAAACUCAAAACGAUUGGUCAGAUCGUUAUAUCAUCGACUCAAGCAUAAGACCAAGUUUAUACAUAUGGGGUCGUUUGGUUCAAAACGAGAGUAUGUCAAGAUUAUAAUAUUUUGGAUUUAAGAUCUGGAUAACUUAUCUUGUUUUUUAUAUGAGAUAAGUUGUACUAAAAUUUUGAUAUAAAAAAUAUUUAUUU